CGGACGGGUGAGUAACACGUGGAUAACCUACCUAUAAGACUGGGAUAACUUCGGGAAACCGGAGCUAAUACCGGAUAAUAUAUUGAACCGCAUGGUUCAAUAGUGAAAGACGGUUUUGCUGUCACUUAUAGAUGGAUCCGCGCCGCAUUAGCUAGUUGGUAAGGUAACGGCUUACCAAGGCAACGAUGCGUAGCCGACCUGAGAGGGUGAUCGGCCACACUGGAACUGAGACACGGUCCAGACUCCUACGGGAGGCAGCAGUAGGGAAUCUUCCGCAAUGGGCGAAAGCCUGACGGAGCAACGCCGCGUGAGUGAUGAAGGUCUUCGGAUCGUAAAACUCUGUUAUUAGGGAAAGAACCAAAAUGGUGUAAAGUAACUUAUGCCACGUCUUUGACCGGUACCUUAAUCAGAAAAGCCACGGGCUAACUUACGUGCCCAGCAGCCGCCGGUAAUACGUAGGUGGCAAAGCGUUAUCCCGGAAUUAUUGGGGCGUAAAGCGCGCGUAGGCGGUUUUUUUAAGUCUGAUGUGAAAGCCCACGGCUCAACCGUGGAGGGUCAUUGGAAACUGGAAAACUUGAGUGCAGAAGAGGAAAGUGGAAUUCCAUGUGUAGCGGUGAAAUGCGCAGAGAUAUGGAGGAACACCAGUGGCGAAGGCGACUUUCUGGUCUGUAACUGACGCUGAUGUGCGAAAGCGUGGGGAUCAAACAGGAUUAGAUACCCUGGUAGUCCACGCCGUAAACGAUGAGUGCUAAGUGUUUAGGGGGUUUCCCGCCCCUUAGUGCUGCAGCUAACGCAUUAAGCACUCCGCCUGGGGGAGUACGACCGCCAAGGUUGAAACUCAAAGGGAAUUGACGGGGGACCCCGCACAAGCCGGUGGAAGCAUGUGGGUUUAAUUUCGAAGCAACCGCGAAGAAACCUUACCAAAUCUUGACAUCCUCUGACCCCUCUAGAGAUAGAGUUUUCCCCUUCGGGGGACAGAGUGACAGGUGGUGCAUGGUUGUCGUCAGCUCGUGUCGUGAGAUGUUGGGUUAAGUCCCGCAACGAGCGCAACCCUUAAGCUUAGUUGCCAUCAUUAAGUUGGGCACUCUAAGUUGACUGCCGGUGACAAACCGGAGGAAGGUGGGGAUGACGUCAAAUCAUCAUGCCCCUUAUGAUUUGGGCUACACACGUGCUACAAUGGACAAUACAAAGGGCAGCGAAACCGCGAGGUCAAGCAAAUCCCAUAAAGUUGUUCUCAGUUCGGAUUGUAGUCUGCAACUCGACUAUAUGAAGCUGGAAUCGCUAGUAAUCGUAGAUCAGCAUGCUACGGUGAAUACGUUCCCGGGUCUUGUACACACCGC
Molecule: ribosomal RNA, 1340 nt
Filed under: Staphylococcus epidermidis
Lineage: Bacteria; Bacillati; Bacillota; Bacilli; Caryophanales; Staphylococcaceae
Description: bacterial SSU rRNA
Rfam family: Bacterial small subunit ribosomal RNA
Source: RNAcentral